RNAcentral lists this microRNA (21 nucleotides) under Hordeum vulgare. RNAcentral describes it as "hvu-miR6185". The record is from miRBase by way of RNAcentral. Lineage: Eukaryota; Viridiplantae; Streptophyta; Magnoliopsida; Poales; Poaceae.
UCUGGCAGCGACGGGAACAUA